This 773-nucleotide long non-coding RNA is filed under the name Vulpes vulpes (red fox). Its description in RNAcentral is "lncRNA (ENSVVUG00000013726.1)". The record is from RNAcentral. Lineage: Eukaryota; Metazoa; Chordata; Mammalia; Carnivora; Canidae.
AAACUUAUUUAUGAAGAAAGAAAAAGUAGUUUAAAAACAUACUAACCCUAAGAUAGUAUUUUUACUUCUCCUCUAAACCUAUUGCAAAUAUUCUGAUUGCAUUAACAAGCUUAGAAUUUUAUACGAAUCAGCAGAAUUCUCAAAUGAAACACGCCUAGAUUAAACCAUCGAAGUAUUUAAGUUGCUUGACCUCCACUUAACCACAUGUCUUCACCAUCACCACCGUACAAAUUGUACCAUUGUACCUCCUGCUUGCUAGCAGGUGGUCAUCAAAUUCCAUUUCAACUGCCACCAACGUUUAUCCUGUAGCUAAUUCUCCAUCUGCAAUCUUCUCAUGCAGGCAAGGACAUAGAGGAGAACACUACUAUAAGAUGUUGAAUCGGUCCAUAUGAGGGGUAAGGCCUGAAUGAAAGUGGUGGCAGUGAGCUUGGAGCAAAAAGAAUGGUAAAAAAUAUGUCCAAUGACAUAUCAAUGAGAUGUAUGGGAUUGACCCGGUGCUGGAGGCAAAGGAGAGGACAGUUGCAAAGUAGAAGCCAGUCCAUGAGAAACCAAUCACUACUGCUGAAAUAUUAAGAAUGGUCCUGGACUUUGAAGCUGAGGAAAAGCCUUGUCAUCCUAUGGGACUCUGCCCAGUGGCUACUCAGCCCCCUACGUGAUAUCGCUAUCAUCUUUGAUCUAAAACAACAUCUUCAUCAAUGCAGAUAUUCAUGAAAUUAUACAAAAGAGGAAUAGCAGUGAAUAAAAGAGUUUAUACAUUUUUUAAAAAAAAUCUC